This is a long non-coding RNA of Pieris brassicae (large cabbage white), 320 nucleotides long. RefSeq lists it as uncharacterized. The record is from RefSeq and is a predicted model, not a curated record. The transcript is spliced from 2 exons. NCBI's taxonomy places the organism in Eukaryota, Metazoa, Arthropoda, Insecta, Lepidoptera, Pieridae.
GUAAAGGCGACCUGGGAUCACACAAAUGGAUACAGUUGAAGAUUUGAGAUAUUGAUACGAAUCGCGCAACGUUUGCAUUAUGCGAAAUCACAACUGAGACGUGCGAGCCGUGGAUCGAGUACAUUUUCGACAACAAGAACUCGUUCUUGAACUCAUUCAAAAUUCCAAAAAUACACCAAAGCAAUGGACGUGAUUCGAAAUUUAAAUUACCGCACCACAGUUCUGUUCAUAUUUGGAAAUUCAAAACGCGCUACAUAGAUAAAAUUUGAGUAGGUAUUUGUAGGUAUUAUUAUUGGGAGAAAAAAAAUAAAAAUUAUUUU